GAUGAAUAACGCAGCGAAAUGCGAUAAGUAAUGUGAAUUGCAGAAUUCAGUGAAUCAUCGAAUCUUUGAACGCACAUUGCGCCCGCUAGUAUUCUGGCGGGCAUGCCUGUCCGAGCGUCAUUUCAACCCUCAAGCCCCCGGGCUUGGUGUUGGGGAUCGGCGAGCCUCCGCGCCCGCCGUCCCCUAAAUCUAGUGGCGGUCUCGCUGUAGCUUCCUCUGCGUAGUAGCACACCUCGCACUGGGAAACAGCGCGGCCACGCCGUUAAACCCCCAACUUCUGAACGUUUGACCUCGGAUCAGGUAGGAAUACCCGCUGAACUUAAGCAUAUCAAUAAGCGGAGGA
Molecule: unclassified non-coding RNA, 343 nt
Filed under: soil metagenome
Description: partial contains 5.8S ribosomal RNA, internal transcribed spacer 2, and large subunit ribosomal RNA
Rfam family: 5.8S ribosomal RNA (bases 1-120)
Source: RNAcentral